This 1719-nucleotide ribosomal RNA is filed under the name Capsicum baccatum. RNAcentral describes it as "bacterial SSU rRNA". It matches the Rfam family "Eukaryotic small subunit ribosomal RNA". The record is from RNAcentral. Lineage: Eukaryota; Viridiplantae; Streptophyta; Magnoliopsida; Solanales; Solanaceae.
CCUAGUUGAUCCUAACAGUAGUCAUAUACUUGUCUCAAUGAUUAAGCCAUGCAUGUGUAAGUAUGAACAAAUUUAGACUGUGAAACUGCGAAUGUCUCAUUAAAUAACUUAUAUUCUAUUUGAUGGUAUCUACUACUCGGAUAACCAUAGUAAUUCUAGAGCUAACACAUGAAACAAACCCCAAGAUCUAGAAGGGAUUCAAUUAUUAGUAAAAGGUCAAAGCGGGCUCUGUCUAUUGCUGUGAUGAUUCUUCAUAACUUGACGGAUCGCACGACCAUCGUGCCGGCAAUGCAUUAUUCAAAUUUCUUCCCUAUCAACUUUCGAUGGUAGGAUAGUGGCCUACCAUAGUGGUGACGGGUGAAGGAGAAUUAGAGUUCGAUUUCGAAGAGGGAGCCUGAUAAAGGGCUACCACAUCCAAGAAAGGCAGCAGGUGCACAAAUAACCCAAUCCUGACACGGUGAGGUAGUGAUAAUAAAUAACAAUAUCGAGCCCAAUGAGUCUUGUAAUUGGAAUAAGUAAAAUCUAAAUCCCUUAACAAGGAUCCAUUAGAGGGAAAGUCUGGUGCUAGCAGCCGUGGUAAUUCCAGCUCUAAUAGCAUAUAUUUAAGUUAUUGUAGUUAAAAAGUUCGUAGUUGGACUUUGGGAUGGGCAGGCCGGUCCGCCUAGGGUGUGCACCGAUCGUCUCAUCCCUUCUGUAGGCAAUGCACUCCUAUCCUUCACUGGUUGGGUCGUGUCUCUGGCGUGGUUACUUUGAAGAAAUUAGAUUGGUCAAAGCAAUCAAACGCUCAGUAUACAUUAGCAUGGGAUAACAUUAUAGCAUUUCGAUCCUAUUACGUUGGCCUUCGGGAUCGGAGUAAUGAUUAAUAAGGACAGUCGGGGGCAUUCGUAUUUCAUAGUCAGAGGUGAAAUUCUUAGAUUUAUGAAAGACGAACAACUACGAAAGCAUUUACCAAGGAUGUUUUCAUUAAUCAAUAAUGAAAGUUGGGGGUUUGAUGACGAUCAGAAAUUGUCCUAGUCUUAACCAUAAAUGAUGUUGACCUAGUCGCAAGGCUUAAACUUAAAGAAAUUGAUAAAAGGGCACCACCAGGAGUGGAUCCAGUGGCUUAAUUUGACUCAACACGGGGAAACUUACCAGGUCCAGACAUAGUAAGGAAUGAUACACUAAGAGCUCUUUGUUGAUUCUAUGGGUGGUGGUGCAUGGCCAUUCUUAGUUGGUAGAGAAAUUUUUAUUGUUAAUUCUAUUAACGAAUGAGACCUCAGCCUGCUAACUAGCUAUGCGUAGGUAUCACUUUGUGGCAAACUUCUUAGAGGGACUACAACCUUUUAGGCCGCGGAAGUUUAAGGAAAUAACAGGUCUUUGAAGCCCUUAAAUGUUCUGGGCCGCACGCGCACUACACUGAUGUAUUUAAUGAGUUUAUAGCCUUGAGUGACAGGCCCUGGUAAUCUUUGAAAUUUCAUCGUGAUGGGGAUCGAUCAUUGCAUUUCUUGGUAUUCAAUGAGGAAUUCCUAGUAAGUGCGAGUCAUCAGUUCAUUUUGACUAUGUUCCUGCCCGUUGUACACACCGCCUGUCAUUCCUACUCAUUGAAUAAUCUAGUGAAAUAUUUGCAUUGUGGCAACAUGGGUGGUUUACUUCCCGCGACGGCGUAAGAAUUCCAUUGAACCUUAGCAUUUAGAGGAAAGAGAAGUUGUAACGAGGUUUCUGUAGGUGAACCCGUGGAAG